UACGGGAGGCAGCAGUGGGGAAUAUUGGACAAUGGGCGGAAGCCUGAUCCAGCCAUGCCGCGUGUGUGAAGAAGGCCUUUUGGUUGUAAAGCACUUUAAGCGAGGAGGAGGCUCUCCUAGUUAAUACCUAGGAAGAGUGGACGUUACUCGCAGAAUAAGCACCGGCUAACUCUGUGCCAGCAGCCGCGGUAAUACAGAGGGUGCGAGCGUUAAUCGGAUUUACUGGGCGUAAAAGCGUGCGUAGGCGGCUGAUUAAGUCGGAUGUGAAAUCCCCUGAGCUUAACUUAGGAAUUGCAUUCGAUACUGGUCAGCUAGAGUAUGGGAGAGGAUGGUAGAAUUCCAGGUGUAGCGGUGAAAUGCGUAGAGAUCUGGAGGAAUACCGAUGGCGAAGGCAGCCAUCUGGGCCUAAUACUGACGCUGAGUCGAAAGCAUGGGGAAGCAAACAAGGAAUUAAGGAAUAACC
RNAcentral lists this ribosomal RNA (463 nucleotides) under uncultured bacterium. Its description in RNAcentral is "bacterial SSU rRNA". It matches the Rfam family "Bacterial small subunit ribosomal RNA", at positions 340 to 787 of the family's 1533-position model. The record is from RNAcentral.